Non-coding RNA from Corylus avellana, 116 nucleotides. Lineage: Eukaryota; Viridiplantae; Streptophyta; Magnoliopsida; Fagales; Betulaceae. The record is from RefSeq and is a predicted model, not a curated record.
AAAUGUUUUUCUAAACUAGCUACCUAGAGAAGAUUUGGUGGAGUUUUACUUCUAAGGAUUUUUGGAAGUGGAGCAGAAUACUACACUAAGGAGAAUCUUGAUGCAGGGAUAGAAAG